GACGAACGCUGGCGGCGUGCCUAAUACAUGCAAGUAGAACGCACAGUUUAUACCGUAGCUUGCUACACCAUAGACUGUGAGUUGCGAACGGGUGAGUAACGCGUAGGUAACCUGCCUGGUAGCGGGGGAUAACUAUUGGAAACGAUAGCUAAUACCGCAUAAUUUUAAUUAUUGCAUGAUAAUUAAUUGAAAGGUGCAAUUGCACCACUACCAGAUGGACCUGCGUUGUAUUAGCUAGUAGGUGAGGUAACGGCUCACCUAGGCGACGAUACAUAGCCGACCUGAGAGGGUGAUCGGCCACACUGGGACUGAGACACGGCCCAGACUCCUACGGGAGGCAGCAGUAGGGAAUCUUCGGCAAUGGACGAAAGUCUGACCGAGCAACGCCGCGUGAGUGAAGAAGGUUUUCGGAUCGUAAAGCUCUGUUGUAAGAGAAGAACGGGUGUGAGAGUGGAAAGUUCACACUGUGACGGUAUCUUACCAGAAAGGGACGGCUAACUACGUG
This 505-nucleotide ribosomal RNA is filed under the name uncultured bacterium. Its description in RNAcentral is "partial 16S ribosomal RNA". It matches the Rfam family "Bacterial small subunit ribosomal RNA", at positions 28 to 507 of the family's 1533-position model. The record is from RNAcentral.